Molecule: long non-coding RNA, 982 nt
Filed under: Malus domestica (apple)
Lineage: Eukaryota; Viridiplantae; Streptophyta; Magnoliopsida; Rosales; Rosaceae
Description: long non-coding RNA (MDOM_LNC005958)
Source: RNAcentral
UUAAAACCCUAUGAUUGUAGUUUAUAAAAGUAGGGAUCGUUUUAGGCCAGGGAUUAGAAGGGCUGCUAAUCUACACAAAUUAAACUCUAAAACACUAAACUAGACUCAAAAACACAAAACUAGACUCUUAUGACUCAAAGCUGAACAAACUAACUUAAAACAUCACAAUAUUAGCAAUUAGACUCAAAACAGACUCUAGGGAGUUAUUUGGACAAAUUUAAGACUAGUAAGACUCAAAACACUAUAUUGGAUAGAUUUGAACACGUUUCUAACUAAUCUAACACAUUUAAUUGAAAGGAGAAUUGUUUUGGACGAAAUUUGACUAAACUAAACAGAUUGCAAAACAAAGUAAAUUAGGUGAAUUGAAUGGUGAAAAACUAGCCAGAGGAUCCUUUUCUACACUUGAAACAUAUGCAUACAAAUUGAUUUCCAGUAUUGUUUCUUCCCACCAUGAAUGACAAUGCCCUAAAUUAAUUGUGAAUGCACUAAUUAACUCUCAGAUUUUCCUAAGUUCAUUGAAUUGAAUGGAUAGCACAUCGCAACCAAAUUAUUCUUCUCAAGUUCCCUAUAUGAACAGCAUGAUAGAGAUACAUAUCAAAUAUCAUUAAGUUCUAUGAAAAUCAUAAGCAUUGACAAGACAUUCGUAACUAUGAACUGCAUGAUACUCCUACCAAGAAUUUACUUAACACGAUUGUGAAUAGCAAUCUCCACUACUUAUAAAUACAAAUUCAUAACAAUUAGGUGAAAUUCCCUUAUAUUUUAGCAUCAAAUCCCUGCAUGCAAACUAAGUAUGCAUCCUUAAUAAACACACAAGAAUAAGUUCUCAAUAAUGCAGAUAAGUAAAUCACAUUCAUGUUUUACGAAACAAUAACUGAAGCUAAUCAAUUCAUAUUAAACAUAUGUCCAUGGCUUCGAAUUCACCUCUAACUAAAAAGGAAUUAGUUCCUCAUGUUCAUAAUAAUUGAAAAGCAAAGUAAAAUAA